Molecule: long non-coding RNA, 468 nt
Organism: Lucilia sericata (common green bottle fly)
Lineage: Eukaryota; Metazoa; Arthropoda; Insecta; Diptera; Calliphoridae
Exons: 2
Source: RefSeq, a predicted model, not a curated record
CAGAAUAUUGAUGAAAGUUAUAAAGAAACUAUAGCAGGAACAAUCGAUAAUGUUUGUUAAAGUGAAAAAUCAUGUGGUUAAUCAGACAACCUAAUAUUUAUAAAAAAUAAAGAAAUUGAAGUCAUUAUAAUCCUCAAAAAACAUUUCAAAUAAUAUACAACAAUAGACAUCUCAACAAUAACGACACCAUUGCUUUAAUCACUAAAGCUAGUAAUUCAAAAUCAAUUUCUCCAAGGACCCAAUAGAUCAGUUAACAGAAUCCACUACUAAACAAAAACGUCAACAUCAACAAUCUUAACAAACAUAAUGAGCAAUAAAACAAAUCUAUUAUAAUUGACCACAUUGAUCAAGCGACAACAUCUAUCCAAAAUCUUACCUAAAGGCAAAAUUCAAGGCAAACACCAAAUCAACCAUCAACAAAACAACAAACGGCAAAUAAGAUCUAUGUAGAUGAAAUAAUGGAAAUAU